GGUCCCGCCUGCCCUGUGACAUUAGUUUAACGGCCGCGGUAUACUAACCGUGCAAAGGUAGCGUAAUAACUUGCCUUUUAAAUGGAGGCCUGUAUGAAUGGCACCACGAGGGCCUAACUGUCUCCUUUUCCCAGUCAAUGAAACUAACCUACCCGUGCAGAGGCGGGUAUUCCCCCAUUAGACGAGAAGACCCUGUGGAGCUUACAGACAAAAAAGCAAAAGCCCUUAAAUAACUGAAUUUAAAUAAUUAAACUAGACUACCUUGCUUGACUGUCUUCGGUUGGGGCGACCACGGAGUAACACAUAACCCCCGAGAGGAAAGCUAUCUAUUUCUUGAGACUAGAGGGACCCCUCUAAUCACCAGAACCUCUGACCAACAGAUCCGGCUUAACCCGAUCCACGGACCAAGUUACCCCAGGGAUAACAGCGCAAUCCUCCUUAAGAGCCCCUAUCGACGGGAGGGUUUACGACCUCGAUGUUGGAUCAGGGCCUCCUAAUGGUGCAGCAGCUAUUGAGGGUUC
RNAcentral lists this ribosomal RNA (521 nucleotides) under Schindleria sp. 6 TK-2007. Its description in RNAcentral is "partial 16S rRNA". It matches the Rfam family "Bacterial large subunit ribosomal RNA", at positions 1851 to 2574 of the family's 2925-position model. The record is from RNAcentral. Lineage: Eukaryota; Metazoa; Chordata; Actinopteri; Gobiiformes; Schindleriidae.